This 206-nucleotide long non-coding RNA is filed under the name Mytilus galloprovincialis (Mediterranean mussel). The record is from RNAcentral. Lineage: Eukaryota; Metazoa; Mollusca; Bivalvia; Mytilida; Mytilidae.
UAAAAAAAUUAAAGGUCAAACAUUUGUUUCACUAUUUAGGUUUAGAGUUCAAUUGCUUUUAUUAGCAUUUUUUUUUUUUUGUUUUCUUUUUUGUAGCUUAUACAUUUUGUUUUUAAAUCAUGAGAUAAUUUUCAGCACCAAUUUAAGUGUAAUGUUUGUACCAUUUUCAAGUUAAUCAUAUUUUAAAACAAACUACAGUCUAUCUG